Molecule: non-coding RNA, 816 nt
Organism: Ciona intestinalis (vase tunicate)
Lineage: Eukaryota; Metazoa; Chordata; Ascidiacea; Phlebobranchia; Cionidae
Source: RefSeq, a predicted model, not a curated record
UAAUUUACUGGUUGAUCUCAUUAACCUUUUCAGAUCACCCAACAAUGGGUAUAAACCAUAAGGGGGUCUCUUCUGUUGGAAGCUAAUCUUCAACUAGAAGAACAUCUAAGCUGCCAUAGCAACUCUCUCUAUGAGCCUCGUAACUAGGUGGAGAUAGCAAUAAAAUUUUAUUGGGGAGAAACACAAAGAGAACUGGUGACCCUCUAACGCCCUCCCUGGCAGGAAGUGCUUCACGUAAUUCCUCAGCAGCCAAACUCACUCCUACCACUUGGUGGGGCCGAAUAACCUCUCGGUUCGAACCUCGCGUUGGGGGCCAUAUUGACCCACAAACCCCCUUACUUGGGCAACGUGAUGGUGUUGGUUCCUGGUCGUCGAUGCGCGCUAAGUGUCGUCUGAUUGGACAUCACAGAAUCCGCUGUUCCAGAGUGUGAAAGAGAUCUUCCAGGAAUUUUAUUUGUGAUCAUAAAGGACCGAUGUUGUCUGCCCUUCAACGAGACAUCAUCGGAGUUUGUCUAUUUCUAUGUGUGUGGUGCUUAUAUAUAUACAUGCUGUUGCUGCCAGAAAUAUUACAAGCCUGAGCGAAAACUUCUUGCGAUUAGAAACUGAAUGUUGCCAACAUUGUGGGCGUGUCCUUGGACAAAACAAUUAACGACAAACACUGACAAUAUUUCGACCUAAAAUUGCCACAAGAUCUUCAUUAUAUUUAUUUCAAUAAUAUAUAUUUGUAUUAUAUUUCUAUGUUUAUAAACUAUCACGUUUAGUUUAAAUAUCUUCAGAACAAUAGAAAUCAAAUAAAGGAACCCCAACAGCUUGAAA